Long non-coding RNA from Leopardus geoffroyi (Geoffroy's cat), 1157 nucleotides. RefSeq lists it as uncharacterized. NCBI's taxonomy places the organism in Eukaryota, Metazoa, Chordata, Mammalia, Carnivora, Felidae. The transcript is spliced from 2 exons. The record is from RefSeq and is a predicted model, not a curated record.
UCUUAGGUCAUGAGCUGCCUCAAGCCUGCAAAUGAAGCAUACUGCAGAGAAGAUUAAGUGGGCUUCCAGGUGAUAGGCAAGGGCUCUGACGAGAAGGCGCCCAUGAAGCUCAAGUCAGCGGGGGAAAGCCCGACAUCGCUGCCUGAAAGGUUGUCACAGCUGAGACCUCGCACACGCCAAGGACACAUGCGGACAGCUGGGAUCCUCCUCUGCUGUGCCCACCCAAGGACAGCCAGCUCUUCUGCAGAGGCUUCUGCUGCUACUCCUUGUUGCUGAUUAACCCCUUCCUAGGCCACAAGCACGUUCACUUGUCAUGGCACCGCCUCAGCCCCUGCUGGGCAACACUGUGUGACCACUUGGACCUGAUUCCACAGCAGGCACAGGUGGUAAUUCUGAUAGCCUGGUAUAAAAUCUUUCCUUUGGGACCUUAAAUAAGACAGUAACUUACUACACUCAAUCUCUCCCUUCUAUCACAAGUGCUUCCCUUCGUGAAAAUUCAGGACCAGGCGCUGGGAAAUAGAACCACGGCACACGGCACAGAAGGUGGAUUUUGUUCGUUUUCUUUUUUUUUUUUUUUUUGCCUCCAAAACGUUCACCAGGCUCCUUUCCCUUCCACCCCCAGCAUGGAGAAGUCAGCAUAACGACUGAAGUCACAGGGCAGUGACAGCGUUUGGGAAGCCACACAGAGGGUGGACAGGGAGCCCCAAGGAUCCAGGGCAGGGAGGGGUGAGGCACCAGGCAGGAAGGGUGUGGGACGUGGAGCUGAGCAGGAGAAAGACAGCUGGUGUGGUUGGGAGAUUGAGCAAAUAGGUAAAUACACUGAGGAUUAUACGAGCCAAAAUUCUCAUUGCCAGAGAAGAUAUUUAUAAACUGAAACAGGAAGUUUAGAAAGAACCCUGAGGUGUUGGACUGGAGCUGAGGUAUCAGUAUGAACUUAUGGUUUUAUUAGUGGGUGUCUGUGUGUGUGUGUAUGUGUGUGUGUAAAUAUAUACAGACAGACAGAUAAAUACAGAAAUAGUCACAGAUGAAAAUGUGUACACACGUGUAUACCCAUAUACACAUAUAAUGUACAGUAUACAUUUCCCAUCUCUGUCCACUGAGUGAGUGAGCCUAAAAGCAAUGUACCCCACUACCAAUUAACACACUGAGUGCCUACA